UCAUCUUCGGGGGUAGAGCACUGUUUCGGCUAGGGGGUCAUCCCGACUUACCAACCCGAUGCAAACUACGAAUACCGAAGAAUGUUAUCACGGGAGACACACGGCGGGUGCUAACGUCCGUCGUGAAGAGGGAAACAACCCAGACCGCCAGCUAAGGUCCCAAAGUCACAGUUAAGUGGGAAACGAUGUGGGAAGGCACAGACAGCCAGGAUGUUGGCUUAGAAGCAGCCAUCAUUUAAAGAAAGCGUAAUAGCUCACUGGUCGAGUCGGCCUGCGCGGAAGAUGUAACGGGGCUAAACUGUGCACCGAAGCUGCGGCAGCGACACUAUGUGUUGUUGGGUAGGGGAGCGUUCUGUAAGCCUGCGAAGGUGGCCUGUGAGGGUUGCUGGAGGUAUCAGAAGUGCGAAUGCUGACAUAAGUAACGAUAAUGCGGGUGAAAAGCCCGCACGCCGGAAGACCAAGGGUUCCUGUCCAACGUUAAUCGGGGCAGGGUGAGUCGACCCCUAAGGCGAGGCCGAAAGGCGUAGUCGAUGGGAAACAGGUUAAUAUUCCUGUACUUGGUGUUACUGCGAAGGGGGGACGGAGAAGGCUAUGUUAGCCGGGCGACGGUUGUCCCGGUUUAAGCAUGUAGGCGGAGGUUCCAGGUAAAUCCGGUACCUUUUAACGCUGAGGUGUGAUGACGAGGCACUACGGUGCUGAAGUAACAAAUGCCCUGCUUCCAGGAAAAGCCUCUAAGCAUCAGGUAACAUUAAAUCGUACCCCAAACCGACACAGGUGGUCAGGUAGAGAAUACCAAGGCGCUUGAGAGAACUCGGGUGAAGGAACUAGGCAAAAUGGUGCCG
This 842-nucleotide ribosomal RNA is filed under the name Klebsiella aerogenes. RNAcentral describes it as "partial 23S ribosomal RNA". It matches the Rfam family "Bacterial large subunit ribosomal RNA", at positions 890 to 1730 of the family's 2925-position model. The record is from RNAcentral. Lineage: Bacteria; Pseudomonadati; Pseudomonadota; Gammaproteobacteria; Enterobacterales; Enterobacteriaceae.